RNAcentral lists this ribosomal RNA (503 nucleotides) under uncultured bacterium. RNAcentral's name for it is "partial 16S ribosomal RNA". It matches the Rfam family "Bacterial small subunit ribosomal RNA", at positions 28 to 523 of the family's 1533-position model. The record is from RNAcentral.
GAUGAACGCUAGCGGCAGGCCUAACACAUGCAAGUCGAGGGGUAGCAGGAUUAAGCUUGCUUAAUUGCUGACGACCGGCGCACGGGUGCGUAACGCGUAUGCAACCUACCUUAUACUGGGGUAUAGCCCGGAGAAAUUCGGAUUAAUCCCCCAUAGUACUAAUGAAUCGCAUGGUUUAUUAGUUAAAGCAUUGCGGAAUAAGAUGGGCAUGCGUCCUAUUAGCUAUAUGGUGAGGUAACGGCUCACCAUGGCUACGAUAGGUAGGGGGCCUGAGAGGGUGGUCCCCCACACUGGUACUGAGACACGGACCAGACUCCUACGGGAGGCAGCAGUGAGGAAUAUUGGUCAAUGGGCGCAAGCCUGAACCAGCCAUGCCGCGUGCAGGAAGAAUGCCCUAUGGGUUGUAAACUGCUUUUAUUUGGGAAUAAACCUCUUUACGUGUAGAGAGCUGAAGGUACCAAAUGAAUAAGCACCGGCUAACUCCGUGCCAGCAGCCGCGGUAA